RNAcentral lists this ribosomal RNA (496 nucleotides) under uncultured bacterium. RNAcentral's name for it is "partial 16S ribosomal RNA". It matches the Rfam family "Bacterial small subunit ribosomal RNA", at positions 28 to 506 of the family's 1533-position model. The record is from RNAcentral.
GAUGAACGCUGGCGGCGUGCCUAAUACAUGCAAGUCGAGCGAACGGACGAGAAGCUUGCUUCUCUGAUGUUAGCGGCGGACGGGUGAGUAACACGUGGAUAACCUACCUAUAAGACUGGGAUAACUUCGGGAAACCGGAGCUAAUACCGGAUAAUAUUUUGAACCGCAUGGUUCAAAAGUGAAAGACGGUCUUGCUGUCACUUAUAGAUGGAUCCGCGCUGCAUUAGCUAGUUGGUAAGGUAACGGCUUACCAAGGCAACGAUGCAUAGCCGACCUGAGAGGGGGAGGGGCAAAAUGGGAAAUGAGGAAGGGGACAGACUCAGACGGGAGGAAGGAGUAGGGAAGGGUGAGCAAGGGGCGAAAGCAUGAAGGAGAAACGCAGCGUGAGUGAUGAAGGGAUUCGGAUAGUAAAAAGCUGUUAGUAGGGAAGAAAAGAUGUGUAAGGAAAUGUGCACAGCUUGACGGGACAGAAUCAGAGAGAAAAGGAGAACUAAGU